Long non-coding RNA from Cucurbita pepo subsp. pepo (vegetable marrow), 385 nucleotides. RefSeq lists it as uncharacterized. The record is from RefSeq and is a predicted model, not a curated record. Lineage: Eukaryota; Viridiplantae; Streptophyta; Magnoliopsida; Cucurbitales; Cucurbitaceae.
UUGGUUUCGAUCGAGCCUUCUUCAUAAAAUCUUCACAGAACUUAGGGGAGAACAUUCUUGACUCUUAAAUCGUCCAAAACCGUCAAGAAACGAGGAAAAUCUAAAGGGAGGAUUACGCUCAAAACCUGUGAACGAAAUUGUAAUCGAUUCAAAUCAGAAAUGGGAGUUUCGGCGUUCGUCAAAGGAGGAGAAAGGAGAACGCAGACAACGACUAGGACACGUGUUAGGCGGAGAAGGAGGCUGCGCUUCACCGGAGAAAGAGGGACACGUGUCAAGCAUCUAUUGGUGAAGAAAAUCAAAGAAAUACUUCGUGUUGGGCAGGAUUAGAAGGCCAAUGGCCGGCUACUCGAGUCCGCGACCCGAUGACCCGCGAGCUACCCGAACC